This 540-nucleotide ribosomal RNA is filed under the name uncultured bacterium. RNAcentral describes it as "bacterial SSU rRNA". It matches the Rfam family "Bacterial small subunit ribosomal RNA", at positions 355 to 896 of the family's 1533-position model. The record is from RNAcentral.
UGAGGAAUAUUGGUCAAUGGACGGAAGUCUGAACCAGCCAAGUAGCGUGCAGGAUGACGGCCCUAUGGGUUGUAAACUGCUUUUGUAUGGGGAUAAAGUCAAUCACGUGUGAUUGUUUGCAGGUACCAUACGAAUAAGGACCGGCUAAUUCCGUGCCAGCAGUCGCGGUAAUACGGAAGGUUCGGGCGUUAUCCGGAUUUAUUGGGUUUAAAGGGAGCGUAGGCCGGAGAUUAAGUGUGUUGUGAAAUGUAGACGCUCAACGUCUGACUUGCAGCGCAUACUGGUUUCCUUGAGUACGCACAACGUUGGCGGAAUUCGUCGUGUAGCGGUGAAAUGCUUAGAUAUGACGAAGAACUCCGAUUGCGAAGGCAGCUGACGGGAGCGCAACUGACGCUUAAGCUCGAAGGUGCGGGUAUCGAACAGGAUUAGAUACCCUGGUAGUCCGCACAGUAAACGAUGGAUGCCCGCUGUUGGUACCUAGUAUCAGCGGCUAAGCGAAAGCAUUAAGCAUCCCACCUGGGGAGUACGCCGGCAACGGUG